AUUGAACGCUGGCGGCAUGCCUAAUACAUGCAAGUCGAACGGUAACAGGUUCUUCGGAAUGCUGACGAGUGGCGGACGGGUGAGUAACGCGUGGGAAUCUGCCCAGUAGGAGGGGACAACCCGAGGAAACUCGGGCUAAUACCGCAUACGCCCUACGGGGGAAAGCAGGGGAUCUUCGGACCUUGCGCUCGCGUCCGAUUAGCUUGUUGGUGAGGUAAUGGCUCACCAAGGCAAUGAUCUGUAGCUGUUCUGAGAGGAAGAUCAGCCACACUGGGACUGAGAUACGGCCCAGACUCCUACGGGAGGCAGCAGUGGGGAAUAUUGGACAAUGGGCGCAAGCCUGAUCCAGCAAUGCCGCGUGUGUGAAGAAGGCCCUAGGGUUGUAAAGCACUUUCAGUUGGGAGAAACCGCAGAGGGUUAAUACCCCUCUGUCGUUACCCAAAAAAUAAGCACCGGCUAACUCUGUGCCAGCAGCCGCGGUAAGACAGAGGGUGCAAGCGUUAAUCGGAAUUACUGGGCGUAAAGGGCGCGUAGGUGGCUCUGUAAGUCGGGUGUGAAAGCCCCGGGCUCAACCCGGGAAUUGCAUUCGAUACUGCAGGGCUAGAGUAUGGUAGAGGAAAGCGGAAUUCCCGGUGUAGCGGUGAAAUGCGUAGAUAUCGGAAGGAACACCAGUGGCGAAGGCGGCCACCUGGAUAGAUACUGACACUGAGGCACGAAAGCGUGGGUAGCGAACAGGAUUAGAUACCCUGGUAGUCCACGCCCUAAACGAUGAGAACUAGCCGUUGGGGUAUUUAAACCCUUCGUGGCGGAGCUAACGCGUUAAGUUCUCCGCCUGGGGAGUACGACCGCAAGGUUAAAACUCAAAGGAAUUGACGGGGGCCCGCACAAGCGGUGGAGCAUGUGGUUUAAUUCGAUGCAACGCGAAGAACCUUACCUGCCCUUGACAUCCUCGGAACCCUGCAGAGAUGCGGGAGUGCCUUCGGGAACCCUGGGACAGGUGCUGCAUGGCUGUCGUCAGCUCGUGUCGUGAGAUGUUGGGUUAAGUCCCGUAACGAGCGCAACCCUUGUCCUUAGUUGCCAGCAUGUAAUGGUGGGAACUCUAAGGAGACUGCCGGUGAUAAACCGGAGGAAGGUGGGGACGAUGUCAAGUCAUCAUGGCCCUUAUGGGUAGGGCUACACACGUGCUACAAUGGUCGGUACAGAGGGUUGCAAAGCGGCGACGUGGAGCUAAUCUCAGAAAGCCGAUCUCAGUCCGGAUUGGAGUCUGCAACUCGACUCCAUGAAGUUGGAAUCGCUAGUAAUCGCGAAUCAGAAUGUCGCGGUGAAUACGUUCUCGGGCCUUGUACACACCGCCCGUCACACCAUGGGAGUGGGUUGUACCAGAAGUAGGUAGACUAACCGCAAGGAGGUCGCUUACCACGGUAUGGUUCAUGACUGGGGUG
RNAcentral lists this ribosomal RNA (1442 nucleotides) under uncultured prokaryote. Its description in RNAcentral is "partial 16S ribosomal RNA". It matches the Rfam family "Bacterial small subunit ribosomal RNA". The record is from RNAcentral.